Drosophila guanche is the source of this 542-nucleotide long non-coding RNA. RefSeq lists it as uncharacterized. The record is from RefSeq and is a predicted model, not a curated record. NCBI's taxonomy places the organism in Eukaryota, Metazoa, Arthropoda, Insecta, Diptera, Drosophilidae. The transcript is spliced from 2 exons.
UGAAUACUUUUUGGGGCAUUAGCCUCAAGAUAAUUUGUUUGAUAUGCGAUUUAAAGGUUGAAACUUAUUCAAGGUUAUGUUUAUUUUAGACGCAAAUUAUUUGGGGCAUUGGCCGGACAUCCAUAUGACCAUGCUGGAAACCAAACCAAGCCCAAAACCUUUAGCACGGCAUACAACCCGCUAUCUACCUGCAUAUACAGUAUUGUGGAUCAUCAAUCAAGCAUGUUCGGUUCGUCUUUCGGUGUGCUCUGGUUCGACUCGAUCGCAUCGCAUCGAACAUUGCUGUGAAUACAGGCGGUAUUGCCAUCAGCUGAGCUGCAUUUAAAUUGCGGUACUUUGGUUUUAGGUCUUGUAUACUCUACAGUGACAUAUGUACAUUUAAAUGUAGACGUAAUACAUUUAAGAAAUUGUGUACCCAGUGUGCCUACUACCAGAGAAAUUCCCCAUUGUGUACUGUCGAAGUUUUUCUGUUCAGCUAUUGGGGCGUCCGGCUGUCGUAUCUAUUAUGUAUUUAUGUAAAUAAAGAAAGAUGUAUGCACGUA